AACGAACGCUGGCGGCAGGCUUAACAAAUGCAAGUCGAACGCCCCGCCCGGGGGGUGGCAGACGGGUGAGUAACGCGUGGGGACAUACCCUUUUCUACGCAAUAGCUCUGGGAAACUGGAAUUAAUACCGUAUACGCCCUACGGGGGAAAGAUUUAUCGGGGAAGGAUUGGCCCGCGUUGGAUUAGCUAGUUGGUGGGGUAAAGGCCUACCAAGGCGACGAUCCAUAGCUGGUCUGAGAGGAUGAUCAGCCACAUUGGGACUGGGAAACGGCCCAAACUCCUACGGGAGGAAGCAGCGGGGAAUAUUGGACAAUGGGCGCAAGCCCGACACUGCCAUGCCGCGUGAGUGAUGAAGGCCUUAGGGUGGUAAAGCUCUUUCACCGAUGAAGAUAAUGACGGUACUCGGAGAAUAAGCCCCGGCUAACUUCGUG
Molecule: ribosomal RNA, 431 nt
Filed under: uncultured bacterium
Lineage: Bacteria
Description: partial 16S ribosomal RNA
Rfam family: Bacterial small subunit ribosomal RNA
Source: RNAcentral